Molecule: ribosomal RNA, 726 nt
Filed under: uncultured bacterium
Lineage: Bacteria
Description: bacterial SSU rRNA
Rfam family: Bacterial small subunit ribosomal RNA
Source: RNAcentral
AGAUGCUAAUACCGCAUAACAACUUGGACCGCAUGGUCCGAGCUUGAAAGAUGGCUUCGGCUAUCACUUUUGGAUGGUCCCGCGGCGUAUUAGCUAGAUGGUGGGGUAACGGCUCACCAUGGCAAUGAUACGUAGCCGACCUGAGAGGGUAAUCGGCCACAUUGGGACUGAGACACGGCCCAAACUCCUACGGGAGGCAGCAGUAGGGAAUCUUCCACAAUGGACGAAAGUCUGAUGGAGCAACGCCGCGUGAGUGAAGAAGGGUUUCGGCUCGUAAAACUCUGUUGUUAAAGAAGAACAUAUCUGAGAGUAACUGUUCAGGUAUUGACGGUAUUUAACCAGAAAGCCACGGCUAACUACGUGCCAGCAGCCGCGGUAAUACGUAGGUGGCAAGCGUUGUCCGGAUUUAUUGGGCGUAAAGCGAGCGCAGGCGGUUUUUUAAGUCUGAUGUGAAAGCCUUCGGCUCAACCGAAGAAGUGCAUCGGAAACUGGGAAACUUGAGUGCAGAAGAGGACAGUGGAACUCCAUGUGUAGCGGUGAAAUGCGUAGAUAUAUGGAAGAACACCAGUGGCGAAAGGCGGCUGUCUGGUCUGUAACUGACGCUGAGGCUCGAAAGUAUGGGUAGCAAACAGGAUUAGAUACCCUGGUAGUCCAUACCGUAAACGAUGAAUGCUAAGUGUUGGAAGGGUUUCCGCCCCUUCAGUGCUGCAGCUAACGCAUUAAGCA